ACGGUAUUCUAGGUGGUCGCUGCUCAGCAAUGGGUGGAGGAAAGUCCGGACUCCUAGCAAACACGGUACCGUGGGAGUGUUUACGCAAUCACGGGAGGCGCAAGCCUAUGGACAGUGCCACAGAAAAUAACCGCCUUGCAUGCGUUUGCAUGUGAGGUAAGGGUGAAAACGUGCGGUAAGAGCGCACGAUCAGCUGCAGUAAUGUAUGCUGAGGGGUAAACCCUACCGGGAGCAAGACAAAGCAGCAUGUUCGGUCGUUUGUUCCGGUUUAAAACAUGCGGGUAUGUUGCAUAGAUAGAUGGCUACCAGCCUACUAUAAAAAGUAGGCGACAGAAUCCGGCUUAUUGAAUACCGUCGAU
RNAcentral lists this RNase P RNA (359 nucleotides) under Campylobacterota bacterium. RNAcentral's name for it is "Epsilonproteobacteria bacterium RNase P RNA component class A". It matches the Rfam family "Bacterial RNase P class A". Rfam says of the family: Ribonuclease P (RNase P) is a ubiquitous endoribonuclease, found in archaea, bacteria and eukarya as well as chloroplasts and mitochondria. Its best characterised activity is the generation of mature 5'-ends of tRNAs by cleaving the 5'-leader elements of precursor-tRNAs. RNAcentral also lists the same sequence under 1 other name. The record is from RNAcentral. Lineage: Bacteria; Pseudomonadati; Campylobacterota.